Molecule: ribosomal RNA, 666 nt
Filed under: Pseudomonas sp. EK-I58
Lineage: Bacteria; Pseudomonadati; Pseudomonadota; Gammaproteobacteria; Pseudomonadales; Pseudomonadaceae
Description: bacterial SSU rRNA
Rfam family: Bacterial small subunit ribosomal RNA
Source: RNAcentral
UAUGUGCGAAGGCCUAACCUGCAAGUCGAGCGGCAGCACGGGUACUUGUACCUGGUGGCGAGCGGCGGACGGGUGAGUAAUGCCUAGGAAUCUGCCUGGUAGUGGGGGAUAACGCUCGGAAACGGACGCUAAUACCGCAUACGUCCUACGGGAGAAAGCAGGGGACCUUCGGGCCUUGCGCUAUCAGAUGAGCCUAGGUCGGAUUAGCUAGUUGGUGAGGUAAUGGCUCACCAAGGCGACGAUCCGUAACUGGUCUGAGAGGAUGAUCAGUCACACUGGAACUGAGACACGGUCCAGACUACUACGGGAGGCAGCAGUGGGGAAUAUUGGACAAUGGGCGAAAGCCUGAUCCAGCCAUGCCGCGUGUGUGAAGAAGGUCUUCGGAUUGUAAAGCACUUUAAGUUGGGAGGAAGGGCAGUUACCUAAUACGUAAUUGUUUUGACGUUACCGACAGAAUAAGCACCGGCUAACUCUGUGCCAGCAGCCGCGGUAAUACAGAGGGUGCAAGCGUUAAUCGGAAUUACUGGGCGUAAAGCGCGCGUAGGUGGUUCGUUAAGUUGGAUGUGAAAUCCCCGGGCUCAACCUGGGAACUGCAUUCAAAACUGUCGAGCUAGAGUAUGGUAGAGGGUGGUGGAAUUUCCUGUGUAGCGGUGAAAAUGCGUAAAA